This 260-nucleotide ribosomal RNA is filed under the name uncultured bacterium. RNAcentral's name for it is "partial 16S ribosomal RNA". It matches the Rfam family "Bacterial small subunit ribosomal RNA", at positions 338 to 615 of the family's 1533-position model. The record is from RNAcentral.
CCUACGGGACGCAGCAGUGGGGGAUAUUGCACAAUGGGGGGAACCCUGAUGCAGCGACGCCGCGUGGGUGAAGGAGCGUUUCGGCGCGAAAAGCCCUAUCGGCAGGGAAGAAGAUGACGGUACCUGACCAAGAAGCCCCGGCUAACUACGGGCCAGCAGCCGCGGUAAUACGUAGGGGGCAAGCGUUAUCCGGAUUUACUGGGGUGAAAGGGGGCGCAGACGGCAAUGAAAGCCGGGAGAGAAAGCCCGGGCCCCAACCC